Molecule: non-coding RNA, 244 nt
Organism: Chiloscyllium plagiosum (whitespotted bambooshark)
Lineage: Eukaryota; Metazoa; Chordata; Chondrichthyes; Orectolobiformes; Hemiscylliidae
Source: RefSeq, a predicted model, not a curated record
CCUAAAUAGACGAGAAAAGAUGCCAGAACCAUUACAGAAGAUUUGCUGUAUUCAUCUGAAGUUGAGAUUCGGGCAUUUCAGCAGGUUGGGCUUGCAUUAGCAAGGUUUACAGAAAGAUCACAAUCGAAUCACCAUAAUGAACGAGAAGAGCCACAAAGACUGGGCUGAUAAUGAAUAACAGAUACACGGAAAAUGUUCAGCUUCAUUCCGAAGGAAAAUAUGCAAAAUGUUUGAACAAGCAGAG